Molecule: ribosomal RNA, 482 nt
Filed under: uncultured bacterium
Lineage: Bacteria
Description: bacterial SSU rRNA
Rfam family: Bacterial small subunit ribosomal RNA
Source: RNAcentral
GACGAACGCUGGCGGCGUGCCUAAUACAUGCAAGUCGAACGCACUCUCGUUUAGAUUGAAGGAGCUUGCUCCUGAUUGAUAAACAUUUGAGUGAGUGGCGGACGGGUGAGUAACACGUGGGUAACCUGCCCUAAAGUGGGGGAUAACAUUUGGAAACAGAUGCUAAUACCGCAUAAAACCUAACACCGCAUGGUGUAGGGUUGAAAGAUGGUUUCGGCUAUCACUUUAGGAUGGACCCGCGGUGCAUUAGUUAGUUGGUGAGGUAAAGGCUCACCAAGACCGUGAUGCAUAGCCGACCUGAGAGGGUAAUCGGCCACACUGGGACUGAGACACGGCCCAGACUCCUACGGGAGGCAGCAGUAGGGAAUCUUCCACAAUGGACGAAAGUCUGAUGGAGCAACGCCGCGUGAGUGAAGAAGGUUUCGGAUCGUAAAACUCUGUUGUUGGAGAAGAAUGUAUCUGAUAGUAACUGAUCAGGUAGU